RNAcentral lists this ribosomal RNA (377 nucleotides) under uncultured Chloroflexota bacterium. Its description in RNAcentral is "bacterial SSU rRNA". It matches the Rfam family "Bacterial small subunit ribosomal RNA", at positions 521 to 896 of the family's 1533-position model. The record is from RNAcentral. Lineage: Bacteria; Bacillati; Chloroflexota.
UAAUACGUAGAUGGCGAGCGUUAUCCGUAUUUAUUGGGCGUAAAGAGGGCGCAGGCGGCUUUUCAAGUCGGAUGUAAAAUCUCCCAGCUUAACUGGGAGGGACCAUUCGAUACUGUUAGGCUAGAGGGCAGCAGGGGGAGGUAGAAUUCCCGGUGUAGUGGUGAUAUGCGUAGAUAUCGGGAGGAAUACCAGCGGCGAAGGCGGCCUCCUGGGCUGUUGCUGACGCUUAAGCCCGAAAGCGUGGGGAGCAAACAGGAUUAGAUACCCUGGUAGUCCACGCUGUAAACUAUGGACACUAGGUAUAGGGAGUAUCAACCCUCUCUGUGCCGAAGCUAACGCGUUAAGUGUCCCGUCUGGGAACUACGACCGCAAGGCUA